RNA transcript from Oryzias latipes (Japanese medaka), 1952 nucleotides. It is a transcript of the gene named fukutin, with no coding region annotated. The record is from RefSeq and is a predicted model, not a curated record. Lineage: Eukaryota; Metazoa; Chordata; Actinopteri; Beloniformes; Adrianichthyidae.
AAGUGGGAGUGACCACUUGUCGUUGCUCCAUAAAGAUGGCGGGGUUCGGGGUCGCUUCAGCUCUUCCCGCUUCGUUCUAAAGUCUUCGGCCACAGGCCCUCGCGCGCACGGCUCUGCCCACGAGGUAUGACCAGAGGCAAAGCGGCCCGCGUGACCGGAUGCCUCGCGUGAACCGGACGGCGGUGUUGUCGCUGCUCAUCGUUAGCAGCUGCGUGUUCCUGCUGUUCCAGCUGCAUUACUACCGGAAGUACGUCACCAAGCAGCAGGGGGGGCCGUUACUGAGCCCGGUGCAUCACCUGACCAACCGCGCUGUACAAUGGCAGGUGCUGAAGAAGUUCUUGGCCUUGGCCCACCAUUUCCACCUGCCGCUGUUCCUCGCUGACACUUUGGCGCUCUCGCUCCUGUCCCAGCAUGCUUUGCGUCAGCGUGACCGGGUGGUCCAGGAGCCACAAUGCAGUGUCCUCUGCACCGACCGUCCAGUGUUGGCGUUUGGCGUGCAUGCCAGCUCGUGGGAGAGCACUCCUGAAUUUGUGGCGGCUGCUCAGACCAAAGGCUUUGAGCUGCUGGAGCUGCGAGGAAAAGACCCGCGCCUUUCCAGCCUGGACACCCUGUCAGGGGAGGAGAUCCCGCUCCACUUCCUGUUCCGCCUUGAUGGUUACAUCAUCCAUGUGGGUGGAGCCAUGCACUCCUUGUGUCUAGUCUGGGUCUGGUCUGGUGGUCUUCCUGUACGAGCGCAGCGGGAACUACCUCUGGCACGGCCCGCUGCGCCUCAGGGCCGACAUGGACCGGACCUUCGCCCCCUUCUCCCUGCUGGACUAUGGGCGCUAUGCUGGAGCGUACGACAGGCCAGAACUGAUCCUUACGGUCCUGGAUCGCCUCGAUGUUCGAGUUCCUCGCAACAUCACCCACUUUCUGGUGCAGCAGAGAGAUGCUCGCUUCUUGGAGUGCCGCUUCCACGAAGCUCGCCACUUCCUGCAGCUGUACCCCGACGACUCGUCUGCGGCGGCGCUGGACUUCCGAAGGAAAGCCAGGACUCUGCUUCGUGUAACAACACAAACACUUGGUCUGCUCCACAUCCCCUUCUGGAUCAGCAGUGGUACCUGCCUGGGAUGGUUCCGGCAGUGCGGCGUCAUCUCUUACAGUCAGGACGUGGACAUCGGGAUCUUCAUCUCAGACUUCAGGCCGGACAUCGUCGGCGCCUUCAGAGAAGCUGGCUUAAGCCUGAAGCACAAGUUUGGAAAGGUGGAAGACAGCCUGGAGCUUUCAUUUCUAAGCCAGGAUGUCAAACUGGACAUUUUCUUCUUCUAUGAGGACGGAGACGUGGUGUGGAACGGCGGCACGCAAGCCAAGAGCGGCAGAAAGUUUAAGUACACCUUCCCUCGCUUCUCUCUCUGCUGGGCGGAGCUUCUGGAGCUGAAAGUUCGCGUUCCCUGUGAGACGCAGGAUUACGUCGUGGCAAACUAUGGAUCCACGUGGAGCGUCCCUCUGAAGAACUGGGACUGGAAGUCCUCCCCCAGCAACGUGCAGGAAAACGGGGAAUGGCCUCGAGGCCAGUGGGCGGAGUUAAUUCAAGUAUACUAGAGGGAGGGGCUGACUGGGAGUUUUUAUUUUUAAUUUCUGAUGUAUGCAACCAUGUGACCUGCACUAAGUGUUGAACACAAACAGGAAGUGAUGUCAUCACUGGUUGAGUUCUCAUAGGCUAAUGCGCUCGUUUAGCUCUCAGAAUAAAGGAGCAGAAACCCCGCCUGCUGAGCUGAAGCUCCUCCCACCAGGAGUACAGAGGACCUUCAGAGAACGUCUGCAGGAGAACCUGACAGGAACAUGCUGGAUCUGAUGGGUUUCAUGUUCAAGAAAAUCCUGAUGUUAAUGUUCUAGGACAGCUCGUCCCUCACCUGUUCCUCAUGUUCUUUAAAUAGUCACCAAUAAAGAGCCAAAGUGUGCUGGAAGCUUAA